GAGGCGCCUGGGAGUUCCGAGAGGCUCAGUCUGGCCCUGGGGAGGGGGGAGUGGAGGUCUUGGAUCGGUCCCAGCCCGCGGCCCGGCCAUCUCUUCACGGCGGCUGGAGCCAAGAGGUGCCUUCCCUUAAGCAUAGGGGAGAGCCCUGAGAUCAGCUGAGGGGGACUGAGGAAAAAGGAGCUUCCACCAGGCACAGAACAAGUUUCAGAAGCAAAGAUCCCACUUACUUACCGAGCAAUCAUAACGCCAGAAACUCCCGUCUCCAAGGCACGGUUGGCGUCUUCAUAAGACAAAAUGUCCCCAUUUCCUGUAGUGGAGAAAACGCGGGACUAAGCACUGAGUGCCCUGAGACCCUCCGAUCAGAGGCCCUAAGCCUGCUCCUGCAGCCUGAGCACCGCAGCCCAGCUCCUGGGAGCCCGAGCACGGCAUGGGGCCCUGCCAAGGGUGCUGGAGCCAUCCACUUCGGGGCUGGCCAGGAAGCCGAGCAUGCCUCUGAAACCUUGAGCCCUUCUCCUUGAAUUAAAGAUGUUGUGGGGCUCUCUGCCUCCCGACGUGACCUUUGUUCAGAGGGAAAAUGCUCCUUGCUGCCCUCUGCCCUGAGCCGCCUGCUUCUCCUAGACAUGAAGUGUCUUCUGCAGGCUCAUGAGCUGCUUCUGCGGGGCAGCCUUCCAAGGCGGUAUAGAGGCUCUUAAUCUGGGGCAGGCUGAGGAAGAUGGAUGGGAAAAAUGAU
Molecule: long non-coding RNA, 730 nt
Organism: Sarcophilus harrisii (Tasmanian devil)
Lineage: Eukaryota; Metazoa; Chordata; Mammalia; Dasyuromorphia; Dasyuridae
Exons: 2
Source: RefSeq, a predicted model, not a curated record